CUGUUGCUGGUGUAACACAAUGCACAUGUGCACGCUUGUCAUCUUUAUUCUUCCAACUGUGCACAUAUUGUAGAUCCUGGGGAGUGCAUUUUUAUUGUUGAUUCAAUAGAUUGAGGACUUGCUGUUGCUGGCCUUGUUCGUCUUCCAGGUCUAUGUUUUCACACACAAUGUUUUGAGUCUAGUGAUAAUAAUAUAAAAUAUACAACUUUCAGCAACGGAUCUCUUGGCUCUCGCAUCGAUGAAGAACGCAGCGAAAUGCGAUAAGUAAUGUGAAUUGCAGAAUUCAGUGAAUCAUCGAAUCUUUGAACGCAUCUUGCGCUCCUUGGUAUUCCGAGGAGCAUGCCUGUUUGAGUGUCAUCAAAUUCUCAACCAUGCUGUGGGCAUGGCUUGGACAUGGAGGGCUUUUGCAGGCUUGGAUAAGUCUUGCUCCUCUGAAAAGCAUUAGUGGUGUCAGUGCAGAAAACUACUACAGGUGUGAUAACUUGUCUAUGCCUUGUGUGUAUAAUGCCAUGCUGCUUCAAUGGGCUUUAUUUUGUGAUCUUGACCUCAAAUCAGGUAGGACUACCCGCUGAACUUAAGCAUAUCAAUAAGCGGAGGAAAAGAAACUAACGAGGAUUCCCCUAGUAACUGCGAGUGAAGCGGGAAGAGCUCAAAUUUAAAAUCUGGCGGUUCUUUACCGUCCGAGUUGUAAUCUAGAGAAGUGUCACCCGUGCGCUGGACCGUGUACAAGUCUCCUGGAAUGGAGCAUCAUGGA
This 754-nucleotide ribosomal RNA is filed under the name uncultured fungus. RNAcentral's name for it is "eukaryotic LSU rRNA". The stretch from base 204 to 357 matches the Rfam family "5.8S ribosomal RNA". The record is from RNAcentral. Lineage: Eukaryota; Fungi.